GGGGGGGGCGGGGGGGGGGGCGGGCACGGGCAGGUCGGACGGCAGCGCAGUAAGAGCUUGCUCUUACGGGUGGCGAGUGGCGGACGGGUGAGGAAUACAUCGGAAUCUACUUUUUCGUGGGGGAUAACGUAGGGAAACUUACGCUAAUACCGCAUACGACCUACGGGUGAAAGCAGGGGAUCUUCGGACCUUGCGCGAUUGAAUGAGCCGAUGUCGGAUUAGCUCGUUGGCGGGGUAAAGGCCCACCAAGGCGACGAUCCGUAGCUGGUCUGAGAGGAUGAUCAGCCACACUGGAAACGAGACACGGUCCAGGCUCCUACGGGAGGGAGCAGGUGGGAAUAUUUGACAAUGGGGGGAAGCCUUAUCCAGCCAUACCGCGGGGGGGAAGAAGGCCUUCGGGUUGGAAAACCCCUUUUUUGGGAAAGAAAAGCAGCAGGUUAAUACCCCGCUGGUCUGACGGUACCCAAAGAAUAAGCACCGGCUAACUUCGUG
Molecule: ribosomal RNA, 492 nt
Filed under: uncultured bacterium
Lineage: Bacteria
Description: partial 16S ribosomal RNA
Rfam family: Bacterial small subunit ribosomal RNA
Source: RNAcentral